RNAcentral lists this ribosomal RNA (253 nucleotides) under uncultured bacterium. RNAcentral's name for it is "partial 16S ribosomal RNA". It matches the Rfam family "Bacterial small subunit ribosomal RNA", at positions 524 to 776 of the family's 1533-position model. The record is from RNAcentral.
UACGUCGGGUGCGAGCGUUACUCGGAAUUACUGGGCGUAAAGCGUGCGCAGGCGGUUCGCCAAGUCUGAUGUGAAAGCCCCGGGCUCAACCUGGGAACUGCAUUGGAAACUAACGGGCUCGAGUGUGGCAGAGGGGGGUGGAAUUCCACGUGUAGCAGUGAAAUGCGUAGAGAUGUGGAGGAACACCGAUGGCGAAGGCAGCCCCCGGGGCUAACACUGACGCUCAGGCACGAAAGCGUGGGGAGCAAACAGG